CAAUUGCGUAUAUUAAAGUUGUUGCGGUUAAAAAGCUCGUAGUUGGAUUUCUGCUGAGAACGACCGGUCCGCCCUUUGGGUGUGUAUCUGGCUCUUUCUUGGCAUCUUCUUGGUGAACGUUGCUGCACUUGACUGUGUGGAGCGCUACCCAGGACUUUUACUUUGAGGAAAUUAGAGUGUUUCAAGCAGGCAUACGCCUUGAAUACAUUAGCAUGGAAUAAUAAGAUAGGACCUCGGUUCUAUUUUGUUGGUUUCUAGAGCUGAGGUAAUGAUUAAUAGGGAUAGUUGGGGGCAUUCGUAUUUAACUGUCAGAGGUGAAAUUCUUGGAUUUGUUAAAGACGGACUACUGCGAAANCANNNGCCAAGGAUGUUUUCAUNGA
Molecule: ribosomal RNA, 380 nt
Filed under: uncultured eukaryote
Lineage: Eukaryota
Description: partial 18S ribosomal RNA
Rfam family: Eukaryotic small subunit ribosomal RNA
Source: RNAcentral